CAGAACGUAGCUAAGUUAGAAAAGCACCUCCCUUACACCGAGGAAACAUCCGUGCAAGUCGGGUCGUCCUGA
RNAcentral lists this transfer RNA (72 nucleotides) under Umbra pygmaea (eastern mudminnow). RNAcentral's name for it is "tRNA-Val". It matches the Rfam family "tRNA". From Rfam's summary of the family: Transfer RNA (tRNA) molecules are approximately 80 nucleotides in length. RNAcentral also lists the same sequence under 1 other name. The record is from RNAcentral. Lineage: Eukaryota; Metazoa; Chordata; Actinopteri; Esociformes; Umbridae.